ACUCAUACCUUGUAGGAAAAAUAAAAUGUUGUAAAAAUGGUUUUCCCAGGGAAAGGCUCAUCCAUUGCACUUUGGAUGUGCUGUUGAACCUUGUGAUUUCCCCAAAUGUGGGUAACUCAGCUACAUAAUUUGUGUUAAUGGGGGCAUUAUGUUUGUGAUUUCUCUG
This 166-nucleotide small nuclear RNA is filed under the name Pogona vitticeps (central bearded dragon). RNAcentral's name for it is "U1 spliceosomal RNA (ENSPVIG00000011893.1)". It matches the Rfam family "U1 spliceosomal RNA". From Rfam's summary of the family: U1 is a small nuclear RNA (snRNA) component of the spliceosome (involved in pre-mRNA splicing). Lineage: Eukaryota; Metazoa; Chordata; Lepidosauria; Squamata; Agamidae. The record is from RNAcentral.